GAUCCCUCCUUUGGAGAUUUACAGUGAGCCCCGGAUAUGGGGUCAUUAGUUCUUCCAUGUGGAGAUCCAUUACUGCCAGGGAUUUCCAAAGCCCAGUCAAAUGAUUCAUCCAGGAUCACCGUAUUGUAAAGAUGAUACUGAGACCUCGUGUGCACAGUCUUACGGAGUUCACAGUUGGCACUGGGAAUAAGCCCACAGGCCUGAUAAAAGCCUGAAACGGCCAGCAUGGUGGGCACAGAGCAGAUGGCAGCAGGAAAGCUAAGGGAUAUUUAAUUAUUACUACUGGAUUCAGCCGAAGCACGUCUCAAGUCAUCCAGUAAGGAGCCACUGCCCAGGUGCUCUGAAUCUUAAGGAGGCAGCAUAAGAGCUGUCAGGACUGAGAAAAGAUUCACCCCACUCCCAGAUGUGCAUUCCCCUUCCUCAGGAGGCACCAAAGCGGGCUUUUCCUACGUAGGCAGCAUCCUUCUCUCAUUCUUACCUGCUAAAACCCUUCCAAAGAUAGGGUUGAACUUUUGUCUCUAGGCUUCAGAAUGAAAAUAAAGAGUAAGAAGGGAAAAAAACAACAACAACAAAAACUUCAAUUGACCCUCAGUUUCUGUUUGACCGUCACAGU
Phasianus colchicus (ring-necked pheasant) is the source of this 613-nucleotide long non-coding RNA. RefSeq lists it as uncharacterized. The record is from RefSeq and is a predicted model, not a curated record. Lineage: Eukaryota; Metazoa; Chordata; Aves; Galliformes; Phasianidae.